AUGGGCUUAUAUGGUUCCAACGAACCAGGAUUAGAUUUGGAAAGAUUAAUUAAUCAAUCAUACCCUGCAACCUUGGAAAUACUUUUAUAUUUUGGCUUCCUUAUUGCUUAUGCUGUCAAAUUGCCGAUUAUACCCCUACAUACGUGGUUACCAGAUACCCAUGGGGAAGCACAUUAUAGUACAUGUAUGCUUUUAGCGGGAAUAUUAUUAAAGAUGGGAGCAUAUGGAUUGAUUCGGAUCAACAUGGAAUUGUUACCUCAUGCUCAUUAUCUAUUUUCGCCCUGGUUAGUAAUAAUAGGAGCGAUCCAAAUAAUCUAUGCAGCUUCAACUUCUCUUGGUCAACGAAAUUUCAAAAAAAGAAUAGCUUAUUCCUCUGUAUCUCACAUGGGUUUCAUAAUUAUAGGAAUUGGUUCCAUAACCAACAUUGGACUCAAUGGAGCUAUUUUACAAAUAUUAUCCCAUGGAUUUAUUGGUGCUACACUUUUUUUCUUGGCAGGAACCGCUUCUGAUAGAAUGCGUCUUGUUUAUCUCGAAGAACUGGGGGGAAUAUCCAUCUCCCUUUCUUUUGGAUUUCCAUUCUAUUUAGAUAUGGUGUAUGUAGAUCUAAUUCUUAUAUAA
Molecule: ribosomal RNA, 618 nt
Filed under: Triticum aestivum (bread wheat)
Lineage: Eukaryota; Viridiplantae; Streptophyta; Magnoliopsida; Poales; Poaceae
Description: partial small subunit ribosomal RNA
Source: RNAcentral